UGAGCGGUGUGGACUCGAGGGGUAAUCCAUGCCAAAUAUUUAAGUUGCUAAAAGUAGGUGUUAUUUGUUUAUUUAUGUUUUGGGAAUAAAAGGCAAUGUGGUAGAUGUUAUGUUGGUUUUGUUAUGAUUUUUAGUUGUUCGCAUGCCUAUUAUGCUUAGGAAAUUUGUGGACUUUAAAUAUGAUGUUUGAGACUGUUAUUUCAGAAAUUUCGGUG
This 215-nucleotide long non-coding RNA is filed under the name Gossypium barbadense (sea-island cotton). Its description in RNAcentral is "long non-coding RNA (GBAR_LNC014191)". Lineage: Eukaryota; Viridiplantae; Streptophyta; Magnoliopsida; Malvales; Malvaceae. The record is from RNAcentral.